RNAcentral lists this unclassified non-coding RNA (403 nucleotides) under soil metagenome. Its description in RNAcentral is "partial contains 5.8S ribosomal RNA, internal transcribed spacer 2, and large subunit ribosomal RNA". The stretch from base 1 to 121 matches the Rfam family "5.8S ribosomal RNA", at positions 35 to 154 of the family's 154-position model. The record is from RNAcentral.
GAUGAAGAACGCAGUGAAAUGCGAUAAGUAAUGUGAAUUGCAGAAUUCAGUGAAUCAUCGAAUCUUUGAACGCACCUUGCGCCCUUUGGCUAUUCCGAAGGGCAUGCCUGUUUGAGUAUCAUGAACACCUCAACUCUCAUGGCUUGCCAUGAUGAGCUUGGACUUUUGGGGGUCUUGCUGGCCUGUGGUCAGCUCCUCUCAAAUGAAUUAGCCUGCCAGUGUUUGGUGGCAUCACAGGUGUGAUAACUAUCUACGCUUGUGGUUUUCCACCAGGUAACCUUCAGUGAUGAAGGUUCGCUGGGGCUCAUAAACGUCUCUCCUCAGUGAGGACAGCUCUUUGAACGUUUGAUCUCAAAUCAGGUAGGACUACCCGCUGAACUUAAGCAUAUCAAUAAGCGGAGGA